RNAcentral lists this ribosomal RNA (500 nucleotides) under uncultured Glomeromycotina. RNAcentral's name for it is "partial small subunit ribosomal RNA". It matches the Rfam family "Eukaryotic small subunit ribosomal RNA", at positions 591 to 1092 of the family's 1831-position model. The record is from RNAcentral. Lineage: Eukaryota; Fungi; Glomeromycota.
CCAAUAGCGUAUAUUAAAGUUGUUGCAGUUAAAAAGCUCGUAGUUGAACUUCAGGCCUGUCCAGACGGUCCGCCUUAAUUGGUGUGUACUGUCCUUGGGUGGGUCCUACCUUCUGGCGAAGCGGCAUGGCCUUAAUUGGUUGUGUCGGGGAACCAGGACUUUUACUGUGAAAAAAUUAGAGUGUUCAAAGCAGGCAAAUAUGCUCGAAUACAUUAGCAUGGAAUAAUGGAAUAGGACGAUGGUUCUAUUUUGUUGGUUCUAGGACCGUUGUAAUGAUUAAUAGGGAUAGUUGGGGGCAUUAGUAUGCAAUUGUCAGAGGUGAAAUUCUUGGAUUUAUUGAAGACUAACUACUGCGAAAGCAUUUGCCAAGGAUGUUUUCAUUAAUCAAGAACGAAAGUUAGGGGAUCGAAGACGAUCAGAUACCGUCGUAGUCUUAACCAUAAACUAUGCCGACUAGGAAUCGGGCGAUGUUGACAAAAUGACUCGCUCGGCACCUCAUG